GUGCUUACUUUGGCAGCACAUAUACUAAAAUUGGAAUGAUACAAAGAAGAUUAGCAUGGCCUCUGAACAAGGAUGACAUUCAAAUUUGUGAAGCGUUCCAUAUUUGC
Molecule: small nuclear RNA, 107 nt
Organism: Cricetulus griseus (Chinese hamster)
Lineage: Eukaryota; Metazoa; Chordata; Mammalia; Rodentia; Cricetidae
Source: Ensembl